This 422-nucleotide ribosomal RNA is filed under the name uncultured bacterium. RNAcentral describes it as "bacterial SSU rRNA". It matches the Rfam family "Bacterial small subunit ribosomal RNA", at positions 355 to 774 of the family's 1533-position model. The record is from RNAcentral.
UGAGGAAUAUUGGUCAAUGGACGGAAGUCUGAACCAGCCAUGCCGCGUGAAGGAUGAAGGCGUUCUGCGUUGUAAACUUCUUUUAUCUGGGAAGAAACCACAGAUUUCUAUUUGUGUUGACGGUACCAGAAGAAUAAGCACCGGCUAACUCCGUGCCAGCAGCCGCGGUAAUACGGAGGGUGCGAGCGUUAUCCGGAUUUACUGGGUUUAAAGGGUGCGUAGGCGGGCUAUUAAGUCAGAGGUGAAAUCUCCGGGCUCAACCUGGAAACUGCCUUCGAUACUAUUAGCCUUGAAUGAUGUUGAGGUUGGCGGAAUAUAACAUGUAGCGGUGAAAUGCUUAGAUAUGUUAUGGAACACCGAUUGCGAAGGCAGCUGGCUAAACAUAUAUUGACGCUGAUGCACGAAAGCGUGGGUAGCGAACA